This 610-nucleotide ribosomal RNA is filed under the name uncultured bacterium. Its description in RNAcentral is "bacterial SSU rRNA". It matches the Rfam family "Bacterial small subunit ribosomal RNA", at positions 67 to 692 of the family's 1533-position model. The record is from RNAcentral.
CGGGAAACCCGCCUUCGGGCGGGGAGUAGAGUGGCGAACGGGUGAGUAACGCGUGGGUGAUCUGCCCUUCAGAGGGGGAUAACCCGCCGAAAGGCGGGCUAAUACCGCAUGAGCCUGCAGGGUCGCAACUGCAGGGAAAAGCGAAAGUUGCUGAAGGAGGAGCCCGCGUCCGAUUAGCUAGUUGGAGAGGUAAGAGCUCCCCAAGGCGACGAUCGGUAGCCGGUCUGAGAGGACGGGCGGCCACACUGGGACUGAGACACGGCCCAGACUCCUACGGGAGGCAGCAGUGGGGAAUUUUGGGCAAUGGGCGAAAGCCUGACCCAGCAACGCCGCGUGGAGGACGAAGAUCUUCGGGUCGUAAACUCCUGUCCGAAGGGACGAAGACAGUGACGGUACCUUUGGAGGAAGCCCCGGCUAACUCCGUGCCAGCAGCCGCGGUAAUACGGGGGGGGCAAGCGUUGUUCGGAAUUACUGGGCGUAAAGGGCGCGUAGGCGGUUUCGGUAGUCAUGGGUGAAAGCCCCCGGCUCAACCGGGGAAUGGCCUGUGAAACCACGGGACUGGAGUGCUGGAGAGGGAAGCGGAAUUCCCAGUGUAGCGGUGAAAUGCGUA